This 123-nucleotide non-coding RNA is filed under the name Streptococcus mutans LJ23. RNAcentral describes it as "pemK RNA". It matches the Rfam family "pemK RNA". The record is from RNAcentral. Lineage: Bacteria; Bacillati; Bacillota; Bacilli; Lactobacillales; Streptococcaceae.
AUAAUGAUACUCCCGUACAGUCACAGUCCGAGCGUUGAAGCACAGAGAACCUGUGUGAGCCGUCGCAGGCAAUGAAUACGGCUACAUGAGAACCAGAACCAUGUAGGGGUGAGAUUCCCGUGA